UUCUGCUCUGCCAAACUUUGUGACUGACUCCUCAUCUCCCUAAGACGUGACUCCCCUCUGAAGUCUUUCUCAACUCCUCCAAAAGACAUUCCCUCUUUUGCAGUCUCACUGUUCUCUGUUGGCAUAUGACAUAUAACCUACCAAAAUAUAAAUAAGCCUAAGGCAGUGUUCUAGGGAGAUGUAAAGAAGACCAAUUUGGACCAUGAUCUUCAAUCCAUCUAUUCUAGCCUCGCCAACCUCUCAGUGUCUUAUAUGCAGUCAGCUAUUUUGCACUCAGGCCCUUGACCCUGCUAUCCACCAUCAGGAAUGCUCUUCUAGCUCUGCAAAUAGCUGACCUUUUCCCAUUCUUGAGAUCUCAGCUCACCUGGCAUCUCUGUACAAAGGUCUUCUGUUACUACGCUAUCUGAAGUUGCCCACCUCAGUUAGCUUCCAUCUCAACCACCACUACAUUUCCUUCAUUGCACUCAUCACAAUCUAUAUGUCUCUUAUUUAUUGAUUUGUUGAUUCAAAUCAACAAGUUGUAUUGAUUCAUUGUAUUUCUCCUCCCCUGGAACAAAGAGGCCUGAAGACAGAAACAAUGUCUGUUUUGUUUACCUGUAUAUCCCUACUGCCUAGCAGCCAUGCCUGGUAAUUCAGAGAUGCACAAAUAAGAAUUUACUUCUUAAAGAAUAAACGAUAAAUACAAAGUUAUUGAAUAAACAAGCCAAAGGGAGAAGACACACUGGUGCCCAUAUGAGGCAUACCUAGCCCAUAUGAGGCAUACAAUCUUGAAGAUUUGGGGAAGGAUACUUAGAAGAGACUUAGUUGUAUAGGUAAAUCCUAUGUGUUGUGUGUGUGUGAGGAAAUAGAGGGGAUGUGGUGAAUACGACUGAAAACACGGGCAGUUCCAGGGUGCAUCCUGCACUAACAAAAUACAA
Molecule: long non-coding RNA, 917 nt
Filed under: Homo sapiens (human)
Lineage: Eukaryota; Metazoa; Chordata; Mammalia; Primates; Hominidae
Description: non-protein coding lnc-TENM4-6:2
Source: RNAcentral